AGACCAGAACUAAAUAAUUGGCUCCACUUGGGCCACGAGCCUGCUGGCCUUCAGAAUGAGCUACACAUUGAAUUGGUUCUACUCUGCAGAACCCUGACUAACACGUCAGUCUGAGGGGAUGGUGCCUCUUCAGCAUCCAUUAGGGGGGCGUACGCUUCCCAAGUGACAACUACCUCCCUGCGUGCUGUUUACAAAGUGCUUCCGCAGAUGUCCAGUUUAAUUCCCACACACACCCUGAGAAGGAGGAACUUGUAUUCGCCCAGGAAAAUCGGGCAGAGGGUUUCCCUAUGCUCCUAGCCACCCUCCUCCCAUCAUGACCUCCCCCAUUAUGGAGAGCAGCAUCACCCAGACUCCAAGGGCCCGGCGUGUGCUUGAAUCCUUCAGUCCUCAGCUAUGUGGCUGGUCCAGCGGCCACUCCAGGAGGCAUUCAGUUGUUGGCUACACAGAUAAGACCAGAGAUGUGUACAUUUGCUACAAUUGCUGCACCAGGUGGCUCUAUAGGCAAAUGUUUCCAAUAUUCAAUGUACGCAAGGACUAGGAGAUCCCUAAGGUCCUACCAGCCUCAUCACUGUGCCAUCAAGACCCUUGCAUACUUCAGCUCCUCCGAUAUUAGAGGAGCCCCAGUGACUGAAAAUGGAGAAGGAAAUGGCAAUAGACUCCAGUAUUCUUGCCUGGACAAUUCCAUGGACAGAGGAGCCUGGCGGGCUACAGUCCACGGGGUCGCAGGGAGUUGAACACAACUUGAGAGUACACGCAACAAGUGACUGAAAAAGCAACACUGUAGCUUGCUGUAGCUUGACUGCAUUAGGUCACUAUCGUUCCCAGCUGGGGGUGGGGUGAGGUGGGUAUUAGCUUUACCAGCAAUGGCUUUCCUGCCUUCUCCAUCUGGUGACUUUGCAAAUUAAGGACCAUGCCCCCUUCCCAAAGAUGUCCGCUUCUCAGCCACCCUGUCUUGUGAGCAGAACUGAGCCCUCUUGAGUGUGGGGCACCUGGGACGAAUGAUGGAAAUGUUUCUACCUGAGCCCUUGGCAUUAUGAGGGCAGGUGGGUUCCGAAAAGGCCACACUGGGACUGUUUUCUUUGGUGGCCAAAGUCACUUUCUCCCAGGAAAAUCCAGGCUGACUCCAUGCAAGCAUCUGACCGUGAGUCCUCCUGCCUUUGGACACUUGGCUGGGAUAGACUCUCUCCAGCAGGAUGCCCAUCAAGCAAGUUGAGUGACAUCUUCCUUUCUUUUUACCUCCUCCAGCCUCUUCUUAAUGGCAGCAGCAGACGGGUACUGACACCAGCUCCCUGACACCCUGUCAGACUUGCUGAACAAGUGUGGGACAGGCAGGCCCAGGGAAAUCGUGGUAUUUUUAGACCCUGGCUUGUGGAAACUUUUUCUCCAGGUUGUGAUGUUUCUGAUAACCUCUGCUUACUCUAAAGGACUCAACUAUCUUUAUCUCUGUAGAAAAAGAGGAUUGAAGAGUCCAAAGCUACCUUCAAGACCAUCCUCUUCAAGCCUGUGACAUUUCCAGGGAGAGAGGUCCCCCAGUGCCAGCCUGACCCUGUCCCUCGCCCCCAAGUCUCUUUCCCAUGUGGUCAAGAGUGAUCUUUCAGAACAGUAAGCUGAGCUCAUCACACCCCCGCUUAAAGUCCUUCAGAAGCUCCUCCUAACACUGGGAUACAGUGGGUUCUCCUCUACCAAUACCCCAAAUCCUGCAUUACCUGGGCCCUGCUGGAAGCCUCUUCACUAUAAAUGCACUUACUGUAAUUUUCCAAGCAGAUUAUGUUCCUCUGAGCUUCCUUGCGUUUGCUCUUGCUGGUCUUUCUGUUCGGAACGCCAUCACUGCACCUGUCCACUCGCCUUCUAGGCUAAGCUUGAAGGAUGUCUCUUUCUGAAAGUGUUUUCUGGCCCUCCCGUCCCCCACCAGCCAAGACCCUGGGACGGAGCCGAGGCUCUUUCUCCACGUUUCUGUAUCAUUAGACAUGCCUCCUGUGUGGCAACUGGGAUCUGAAAUGUCUGUUUCAAGUCUAUCUUCCCCUUUUCAACUCUGAGCUCCCUAAGGUCAAGGGCUUGGUUUUUCAACUCUCAUAUCCUGUGCUUGGGGCAUAAUUGACCUUCAGAAAAAGUUUGUUCAAUAAGUGAUGCAAAUGAGCAGAUGAAUGAAGCCUCUGACCUAAGG
This is a long non-coding RNA of Bos taurus (domestic cattle), 2164 nucleotides long. NCBI's taxonomy places the organism in Eukaryota, Metazoa, Chordata, Mammalia, Artiodactyla, Bovidae. The record is from Ensembl.